AUUAGGUGACCAAACCUCUUCUUGUCAGAACUUCUAGAUAUCGUUAAUAUUACAAAUAAUAAUAUUAAUGACUUUGUCGUCUCAAUUAUUGAUUUAAUAAUGUAUAAAAAUAUCAACAAUAAUUGAAUCAAAUAACAUGAGAUACUAUGCAGCAAUUACUGUAACAAUAAUUGAAUAAAACUGAGUGACUUCUCACGUAAGCAUCAAUAAUCAAAACAGUGUGCUACUGUGCAACUACGCGUAUUACUGUACUUUUAACACCGGGUGUUUCAACAGUUAACGGUAAAACUUCCGCCGUUAUUUUCAUAAAGUAUUUUUAUCGUUUUCUCAAUCCGAUAAUAAUUCCGUUGUGGGGUCCACCAAUGAUUGUGUUGUUGUACGAAUAUUCUCUGUUAAAACGAAUAUUCCCCGACCAAUCGAAUAUUAUAUAACAACUUGCAUACUUUGCAAAAUUUAUAAAUAUUACCACAACUAUAACAUUAUAUCAAAUUUACUCCAUAAUAUUCAAAAAUGAUAUUUAAAGAAAAUUCAUUUUUUUUCAUAAAAGUUGGGGUCUUACAAUGCCAAUUAAAGGUCUGUGUAGGAUCAAUAUGGUACGACUUUGUGAAAUGACAAUUAAAAGUGGAAGAGGAAAAAGAAAAGGAAGAUGUGGUGAAAAGUGGAAGAGGAAGAGGUAAAGGAAGAUACGGGGGCUUGGGGGGGGGGGGUUAGGAGGAAGAACAUAACGUUUGAUAAGACCAAUUUCUAAAUAACCGAGUUAACUCACCGAUGUUUCAAAUGGAAAAGAAUGAUUUUUCAAAUUGAAUUAAUUUGAUUAGGUCAAUUUACGUCAUUAAUGUACGUCUUUUUAUAUAUAAUACUCCAUCCGUCCUAAUUUCCUUUUCAGGAUACAAUAAAUGUCAUAUUUCUAUAUUAGUAACUAUUUUUAUCUUAUUUUUUCACUUAUACCCUCAUAAUAUUUUUAGUCAACUUUUGUUGGAAACUUAAAAAAUAAUAAAAGAUUUACAUUGGAAAGUGAUGUAUUGUUAUACCACUUUCCCUCUCAUAUUAUCAUUAUAGCACCUCUUCUAUGUAGUGUGAGAAUAACAACAAAAAUGAUAAGUAGCUAAAAAUCAAUACCAACAAAAGAUAUCUAUGUAAUUAGUGGGUGGGUUUGGUGAGAGAAAUAUAUUUAUUGGAAUGUGAGAAUAACAAUAAAAAUGAUAUAGAGAACUGAUUCGUGUAGGAACUAGUAAGAAAUAAUUAAUGUUGGGGUGUAAAAUCCCAAAUUUUACGAAUAAAGAUUUAAUUUUCUCGAAAUAUUUUUUUCAAAAUUAUGGUGUAGAUUUGAGAUAAUAUUAUAGUUGUGGGUAAUAUUUAUAAAUUUUGAAAAGUAUGCAAGUUGUUGUAUAAUAUUCGAUUGGUCAGGGAAUAUUCGUUUUAAUAGAGAAUAUUCGUAUGACGACACAAUCAUUGGUGGACCCCACAACGGAAGUAUUGUCGUAGUAAGAAAAUGACAAAAUUAUCUUUUUAUAAAAAUAACGGUGGAAGUGUUACUGUUAAAACUGUUGAACUACCCGGUAGUAAAAGUACAGUAAUACGCGUGGUUGCAUAGUAGCACACGGUAUUUUGAUACUUAUGUGAGAAGUCACUCAGUUAUACUCAAUUAUUGCUACAGUAAUUGCUGCAUCAUAUCUCUCAUAUUAUUGAUUCAAUUAUUGUCACAGUAUCAUCUGCAUAAUAUGUUAUAUUAUUAAAUCAAUAAUUGAG
This 1749-nucleotide long non-coding RNA is filed under the name Panax ginseng (ginseng). RNAcentral describes it as "long non-coding RNA (PGIN_LNC002680)". Lineage: Eukaryota; Viridiplantae; Streptophyta; Magnoliopsida; Apiales; Araliaceae. The record is from RNAcentral.